Lotus japonicus is the source of this 724-nucleotide long non-coding RNA. RefSeq lists it as uncharacterized. NCBI's taxonomy places the organism in Eukaryota, Viridiplantae, Streptophyta, Magnoliopsida, Fabales, Fabaceae. The record is from RefSeq and is a predicted model, not a curated record. The transcript has 3 exons.
CUCAUAUCGCGUUUCCAGAUCGCGUUUUUUCACUCUCCUCUACCUCACUUCACGUUGAACCUCUCUCAGCCUCUCUCUCAGAUCGCGAUUCCUUGACUCCUUCUCAGCGAUGGCGAACUCCAUGGCUUGAAGGGAUUAGGGCUCGAAUUUAUCUUGUUUUGGUAAAAUCGAGUGGUUUCCUGGGUUUGGUUUCUUCGAUUUCUUCCACUGUGCACGCUCUGCUUCAGAUCCAAACAAGAUCAGUAAUUUUGAGUAUCUAAUGCAAUUCAAUACACUGGCUGAGCCUAGUUAUAAUGAUAUAACGCAGGUUGUCUUUUUUCUUAGUGUAUUGCUUUCUAUCAUUGAUCUCUUCAAUCAUAUCUUCAGUUUCUCGUCCUACUUUAGCUGUUUGCAGUAAAGUCGUGCACCUACUUCAAAGCUUCCUCUUGUUUAUUUUCACUUGUACACAAUAUUUUCAAGAGUGAUUCAUUGCCAUUAUGUUUAAUCUGUUUCAUUCUUUCCAUGUGUGUAAGGGAAAGCUUUAUACCUUUACCAGCUUAGGUUUUCAUAAUGUAAAUGAAAAUCUGAACUGGCAGUGUGUACCUGCAUUCAUAGAAUUUGCGUGUAGCUUAGCUGUGCAAAUUUUUAUUGUUUGAGUAUCUUGUGAACUUGCAUUCUUUUAAGUUUAUAUAUAUAUGAAGUUUUUGAAAGCUUUUCCAUACUGAUGAACUUUUUCUGCUUGGUC